UCAGACGCGAAAGCUAGGGGAGCGAACGGGAUUAGAAACCCCGGUAGUCCCUAGCUGUAAACGAUGUGGACUUGGCGUUGGUGGGGUAAAAGCCAUCAGUGCCGUAGCUAACGCAAUAAGUCCACCGCCUGGGGACUACGGUCGCAAGGCUAAAACUCAAAGGAAUUGACGGGGACCCGCACAAGCAGCGGAGCGUGUGGUUUAAUUCGAUGCUACGCGAAGAACCUUACCCGGGUUUGACAUACUGGUGGUAGGGAUCCGAAAGGUGACCGACCCUUCGGGGAGCCAGUACAGGUGCUGCAUGGCUGUCGUCAACUCGUGCCGUGAGGUGUCCGGUUAAGUCCGGUAACGAGCGCAACCCUCGCCGCAUGUUAUACGUAUCAUACGGGACUGCCGGUAUAAAGCCGGAGGAAGGUGGGGAUGACGUCAAGUCAGCAUGGCCUUUAUGUCCGGG
Molecule: ribosomal RNA, 454 nt
Filed under: uncultured bacterium
Lineage: Bacteria
Description: bacterial SSU rRNA
Rfam family: Bacterial small subunit ribosomal RNA
Source: RNAcentral